AACACGAUUGUGACUAACAAUCUCCGCUACUUGUAAUUAUAAGUUCCUAACGAUUAGGUGAAAGUCCCUUAUAAUUUAGCACCAGAUUCAAGCAUGCAAACUAAGUAGGCCUCCUUAAUCAACACACAAGAAUAAGUUAUCAAUCAAAUAGAUAAGUAAAUCGCAUUCAUAUUUUACGAAACAAUAACUGAAAGGAAUCAAUUCAUAUUAACAUAUGUCCAUGGCUUCAAAUUCACCACUAACUAAUAAGAAUUUAGUUCCACAUGUUCAUAUCAAUUGAAAAGCAAAUUGAAAUAGACAUCGAAACUGAAACGAAGGAAGAAAGAACUCUUAAAACUCCCAAGGAUGCAGAUGGCUUGCGCACAAGGCCCUCCUUCAUCAAUGGAAUGCACGACAAGGCUCUCCUUCUUCUCCAAAAGGUGCGGCAAAGAUGUAUAUGGAUGUAGGAUGGUGUUUUGUGAUGUAGAAUGGUGAUUAGGGUUGCGGCAAGGUGUUUCUGAAUGGUGUGAAGGGUAGUGACGAAUUUAGGCUUUAAAACAUCUAUUUAUAGGCUAGGGUUUCCACAAAAUCUGAUGGCAAGAGGUUAGGGUUUUGGAGAUAAAAGGCUUGGCCCAUCCAAGGGAGAAAAGAAUUAGGGUUUUAUGUAGAUUUUUAGGCUUCUAGAACACUAGGUGUGGCACAACCCUAGGGUGGAUGGAUUAGGGUUUAAACUUAGCAGAAAAUAAAGGAUUAGGGCCCUAGGGUGCGGCAUGGGCUUAGAACAAAGCUGAAAAAGGAUUAGGAAACUUCCAAUUCAAGAGUAGAAACUUUCAAGAAUGGAAACCUCCAAGAAUAGCAACUUCCAACUUUAGAAACUUUGGUUUCCAAUUCUGAACUAUUUGUUCUUCAUCUUCAUUUCUUCAUUUCUUGCCUCCUUGAUCUUCAAUUUCGUCCAUCCAUUUGACUCCAAGCAUGUGAUAUCCAUUUUAUGCUCAAAACUGCUUCAAAAGGCUCCAAAUUGCACUUUCUCGCCAACUUUGUCAUUUGGACCUACAAACACACGAAAAUAGCUUAAAACACUAUAAUAACCACAAACUAACUAUAAAAGUGCAAGAAAACAAGCUAACUAAGUUGCAUAAAUAUGCUCCUAUCAAAUUCCCCCACACUUAGCUUUUGCUAGUUCUUGAGCAAAACAAAGGAAACAAAACAAACAAAACAUAACCUAAACCUUCCAACAUUUGCCUCAGGGAUUUCCAAUGAAACAUGACACAUUAAAAAUCACUACUCACAUAGAUUUUAGUUAUCCCUACCCUCAAGCGCAUACUUAAUCACAGUCACCACUUACUAGUUCGCAUUUAAUCACAUAAAACAACAUUUUGAAUGUAGUAACAUGCCUUAGAGAAUUCCCUCAAUUUCUCACUGGAUAUACACUCUAUUUUCACACAGAAUUUCUGACUACACUCCCUAUACUAGGUAUAUGUGAGAAGAUUGAUGUAAAUAUGUGGACUAACACUCACAUAAGUUAUAAGCGAAGAAAGCACUUUCUGGAAUUAUUAAUGCAUGUAUAUAUAUAUAUGGUCUCACGAACGGAAUGCUAUUACUUAGACACGAGAACCAGGGAUACCAUAUGCUCAUACCAAUCCCAAACUCCACAUAUUGAAAUACACAACAACCAAGAUUAAAGUCUAAGGGUUGUAAUGGGGCUAAGGGUAUUGGCUAACAAAGAAAGAUAAGGAAAACAAACAUUCUUAAAGCAAUAGUAAGCAAAGUAAUGAAAUUGACACCUAGAAUUCACUUUUGAAUGCAGAAAUCAACUUUUAAACACAAGGGAAGAUUCAUGCAACACUUAGGGUCAAAUUCAAGCUUUUUGGACCCUUUCUUCAACAACCAACACUUUAGAGCUCUUUUUCACAUAUUUUUCAGCUCUUCUUUAUUCUUUUCACAACUUUUCUUUUUCCUUUCUAUUUUCCACGAUUUUUUUCUUCUUUUUCUUUUCUACCCGUGCCUCAUUUCUUCCCCCACACUUGUUUUCUGGAACAAUGUUGAUCAAAAGGAAUUCCCUCUAAGUUUUUAUCCACUAUUCUUUAAGAACAAGGGUGUGGAUAGUCCUAUUCUAGGCUAGGUGAGGAUAAUGUGGCUAACAAAGAAAAUAGGCUAAUUAGGGCUCAAAGGGGUUAAACCUACAAAAACAAAUGCAUGGAAUGAAGGCUUUUUGGCUCUGGUUGUAACUAUUAACAACUUCAUCUUGCUAUAUGUUAUGCAUUCAAUUUUAAGUUUUGAAUGAAAAGGGUAUGAGUUCUAGUAUUUGGAACUAAAGUGAUAAAACGUAUUCUAAGUAGCAACCAAGCAAAGAAUAAUGAGAUCAUCCAACGACUUUAGAAAACAACAAAUCACAGAUUACUAACUCUCCAAAUAAAGUUUAGGCUCAAGUCUCUCAGGGUUGUAACGUUAGUUUGAGUUCCUUCUUUCUAGCAUGUUACAAAAACUUAUCUUUUUGUUUUGUGAUUACAUGUGAAUUCGUAAACGUUAACUACAACCAAGCAUAAAACAAAGAGUAUAUCAAACUUCCAUCCAUGUUUGUAACUUUCUUUAACAGUCAUGCAAUUAAAAAUCAAAUCCUCAUCAUUGUGUUGGAAGGUACCCUAAGACACAAACAAACACACAAAAACAACUCUUUUUGGGUUUUUCAAAACAAUUUUUCAAAUUUUUAUGAGAUUUUUGGAUUUUUAUGUCAAAACACACUAAAAUGCACCAAAACAGCUUAAAAAGACUUAAAGACAGCAAGGAACAAUUUUGGAAGUUAUGGGUGAUAAAAUCCCACGAUUUUGCAAUAAAAACACUUGGUUACCCCCCCCACACUUAAACCAAACAUUGUCCUCAAUGUUUCAAACAUAGACUCACACAUAUGCAAGCAAACAACACGAUUAACAAACAUGACAAACAUGGCAAAGUAAAAACAAGAAAGGGUAGAGUUUAAGAACGCAAAUCUGGUUAUGGAGCUCGAAUUCCUUCAAUCCCUCGUUUGAACACAUGAGUUGCCUCCCAAGAAGCGCUUGCUUUAACGUCUUCCAGCCAGACGAUACCUCCAUUUAAGCUUGAAUAGGGCCCACCACAUGGAGGGGUAUGUCCUCAACGGCAUGCUCCUCAAAUGUCUCACAGUAGGGCUUCAAACGGUGUCCAUUGACCUUGAAUUCAUGUUCCGUCUUCAAACUUUGAAUUUGGACUGCACCAUGAGGAAAAACAUUAGUAAUAACAAAAGGUCCAAUCCAUUUAGAACGCAACUUACCUGGAAACAACCGAAGACGGGAAUUGAAAAGGAACACUUUCUGCCCUAUAGAGAAUGUCUUGCCACAAAUCAUCUUGUCAUGGGUGGCCUUUGCUUUCUCCUUAUAAAUGAGAGCGUUCUCAUAAGCUUCCUUCCUAAUCUCCUCCAGCUCAUUCAAUUGCAAUUUCCUAUGGAUCCCAGUGGCAUCAAUGUCCAUAUUGAAUGUUUUGACGGCCCAAUGUGCACGAUGCUCCAAUUCAACCGGAAGAUGACAUGGUUUCCCAUAGAUGAGCCGAAAUGGGGACAUCCUAAUUGGUGUUUUGUAGGCCGUUCUAUAUGCCCACAAUGCAUCAUUUAAACGCAAGCUCCAAUCUUUUCGAGUUGGUCCCACUGUCUUCUCCAAAAUUUGCUUGAUUUCCCUAUUCGAAACCUCGGCUUGCCCACUUGUCUGAGGAUGAUAAGGUGUUGAAACCUUAUGCGUGACAUUGUACUUCUUGAGCAACGUCUCAAUGGUUUGAUUACAAAAAUGGGAUCCUGCAUCACUAAUGAGCACUCUUGGCAUUCCAAACCUUGCAAAUAUGUUAGUUCUAAUAAAAUCUGCAACUACUUUAGAAUCAUUAGUACGGGUGGCUUUUGCUUCCACCCAUUUCGAAGCAUAAUCCACAACAAGUAAUAUAUAAAGAAAACCAUGGGAGGAAGGAAAUGGACCCAUGAAAUCUAUACCCCAAACAUCAAAAAUCUCAACAGAAUAUAUAGUAUGUUGCGGCAUUUGGUCUUUUGAUGUUAUAUUACCCAUUCUUUGACAACGAUCACAGGUGAUACAAAAGGUUCUAGCAUCUCUAAGGAUAGUAGGCCAAUAAAAUCCACAUUCUAAAACCUUAUGUGUUGUGCGUUGUGUGCCGAAAUGACCCCCACAUUCAUAAGUGUGACAGAAAGUUAAAAUCGAAUGAAACUCGGAAUCAUGCACACACCUACGUAGAAUCUGGUCAGGGCAAUGUUUCCACAAAUAAGGGUCAUCCCAAACAUAAAACCGUGCAUCCUUCUUGAGUGUAUCACGUUGGUGCUUAGUUAGGGUGCUUGGGACAUGCUUAGUGACCAAAUAAUUAACUAGAUCGACAUACCAUGGCUCACUUACCUUAAUGGACAGCAACUGCUCAUCUGGGAAUGUCUCUGGGAUGGGCAUGGCAUUGGCAUCUUCUUCAUGCACCAUUCGGCUCAAAUGGUCAGCCACCACAUUUUCACUUCCUUUCUUGUCCCGGAUUUCCACGUCAAACUCUUGGAGAAGUAGCAUCUAACGAAUAAGCCUUGGCUUGGCCUCCUUCUUUGUGAGAAAAUACUUCAAAGCUGCGUGAUCAGUGUAAAUAAUAACUUUAGUUCCAAAAAGAUAUGAACGAAACUUAUCUAAAGCAAAUACAACAGCAAGAAGUUCUUUUUCAGUGGUGGAAUAAUUCAAUUAUGCAUCAUUCAACGUCCGGGAUGCAUAGUAGAUGACGUGUGGCUUCCUGUCCCUCCUUUGUCCCAAAACAGCCCCUAAUGCAUAAUCUGAGGCAUCGCACAUAAGCUCAAAGGGAAGGCUCCAAUCUGGUAGGACUAUGAUGGGGGCCGAUGUUAGUUUUUCCUUGAGGUGAUUGAAUGCCUUUUCACACUCAUCAUCGAACUUGAAUGUCACAUCUUUUUGAAGAAGUCGGCAAAUGGGUUGGGAAAUCUUGGAAAAAUCUUUGAUGAAUCGCCUAUAGAAUCCUGCAUGUCCAAGAAAAGAAUGAACCUCUCUCACCGAAGUGGGAGAGGGUAAGUAGCAUACAAGAUCUAUUUUUGAUUUAUCAACCUCUAUUCCCUUCGCAGAAACUAUGUGACCUAAAACUAUACCUUGUUUAACCAUAAAGUGACAUUUUUCCCAAUUCAAAACAAGGUUAGUUUCAAUGCACCGGUUUAAGAUUAAAGUGACAUUAUCUAAACAACCAUCAAAUGAAUCACCAAAGACACCAAAGACACUAAAGUCAUCCAUUAAAGUGACAUUAUCUAAACAACCACAAAAUCUGAAAAUAUACUUACCAUGCAUCGUUGGAAUGUGGCUGGUGCAUUACACAACCUGAAUGGCAUUGACAAUAAGCAAAAGUGCCAAAUGGACAAGUAAAAGUAAUUUUUUCUUGAUCAUCUGGAGCUAUAACAAUUUGAUUAUAUCCUGAAUAACCAUCUAGAAAGCAAUAAAAAGAAUGACCGGCUAACUUUUCAAGCAUUUGAUCAAUGAACGGCAAGGGGAAGUGGUAUUUCCUUGUGGUGGCGUUUAGCUUCCUAUAGUCAAUGCACACUCGCCAACCGGUUUGGAUACGUGUAGGCACAAGCUCAUUCUCUACAUUCUUCACCACGGUGACUCCUGAUUUCUUUGGUACAACUUGAACCGGUGAAACCCAAAGACUAUCUGAGAUGGGGUAAAUGACUCCACAAUCAAGUAGCUUGAUAAUCUCCUUUUUCACAACUUCCAUCAUUGGAGGGUUAAGUCGACGUUGAGCCUCUCGAGUUGGUUUAGCCCCUCCUCUAGAAGUAUGUGAUGCAUGCAAGUUGUAGGGCUAAUUCCCUUAAUGUCGGCCAAUGUCCAUCCAAUUGCCGUUUUAUGCUCUUUCAACACACGAGUCAACUUCUCCUCCUCCAAUGCCGUGAGUGAUGAGGAAACAAUGACGGGCAAUGUCUCGUCAUCUCCCAAAAAUACAUACUUCAAAUAGAUCAAUAUAGAAACAAGAAUGAUCAUCCUUAGGAUAUUUAAUAGAUUCAGAAAUAUUGAAAUUAAUAACAUCCCCAUCAAAUUCCAUUGUGAGUGUGAUGUGAAAAUUAACUUGACACACAAAUUAAACCCUAUGGAUGACAAUUGUAGUAUAUGAGCAAAUAGGGAUCGUUCUAAACCGGGGAUUAACUAGGGAUGCUAAUCAAUGUGAAACUGACUCAAGAACAUAAAAACAUAAUGUAGAACACUAAACUAGACUCAAUUAAUGCAAAACUAGAGUUUAAAACACUUAAAUCAACCAAAAACUCAAAACAGCAACUAAAAGACUCAAAACUGCCUUAAAACCACUUUCUGGGCAGUUUUGAGUACCUAACACUAAUUUGGACGAAAUUGGACUAUAACUUGACUCAAGACACUUAAAAACACAACUAAAUUGAUUUCUAACUAAUCUAACACUUUAAAAUAAAUGGGGGAUUGAUUUUGACGAACUUAAAACUUUAAAACUUAAACUUUGAAAACAAACUUAAAGCAAAACAGAUUGUGAUGAAAUAGAAUGAUGAGAAACUAGUUAGAGGGUUCCUUAUCCGCACAUGAACAUAUGCAUACAACUCGAUCUCCAAUUACUCUUUCAACAAACCAUGAAUGACAAUGCCCCAAAUUAACUAGAUUGCACCAAUUAAUUCUCAGAUUUCCCUAGAUUCAUUGAAUUGAAUGGAAUACGCAUUACAACCAAAUUAUUCUUAUCAAGGACCCUAACUAUGGAAUACGCAUGAUAGAGACACAUAUCAAAGAUCAUUAAGUUCAAUGGAAAUCAUAAGCAUUGACGAGGCAUUCAUAACUAUGGGAUACGCAUGUUACUCUUGCCUAGGAUUUACUUAACGCAAUCGUGACUAGCGACUUUUACUACUUAUGAAUAUAAGUUAAUAACGAUUAGGUGAAAUUCCCUUAUACUCUAGCAUCAAGUUUAGGCAUGCAAAUUAAGUGUCGACCCUCAACCCACAUACAUAAACAAGUUAUCAAUCAAAUAGAUAAGUAAACCACAUUCACGAUUUAUGAAAUCAUAAUUGGAAGAAAUCAAGUCAUAUAAAACAUAUGAUCAUGGCUUCAAAUUCGCCUCUAACUAAAAAGAAAUUAGUUCCACAUGUCUAACAUAAUUGAAAAGCAAUUUAAAUUAAACAUGAAAACAGAAACAAGAGAAGAAAAAACUCUUAAAACUCCCAAAGAUGCAGAUGGCUUGCGCACAAGGCCCUCAUUCAUCAACGGAAUGCACGACAAGGCUCUCCUUCUUCUCCAAAAGGUGCGGUAGAGAUGUGUAUGGAUGUAGGAUGGGAUUUUGUGAUGUAGAAUGGUGAUUAGGGUUGCGGCAAGGUGUGUUUGAAUGGUGUGAAGGGGUGGUGACGAAUUUAGGCUUAAAACACAUAUAUAUAGGCACCACAAACCCUAAAGAAAUCAGGUUAGACA
Molecule: long non-coding RNA, 7424 nt
Filed under: Malus domestica (apple)
Lineage: Eukaryota; Viridiplantae; Streptophyta; Magnoliopsida; Rosales; Rosaceae
Description: long non-coding RNA (MDOM_LNC018811)
Source: RNAcentral